RNAcentral lists this ribosomal RNA (420 nucleotides) under uncultured bacterium. Its description in RNAcentral is "bacterial SSU rRNA". It matches the Rfam family "Bacterial small subunit ribosomal RNA", at positions 355 to 772 of the family's 1533-position model. The record is from RNAcentral.
UGAGGAAUAUUGGGCAAUGCCCGCAAGGGUGACCCAGCAACGCCGCGUGGAGGAUGAAUGUCGUAAGAUUGUAAACUCCUGUUAGAGGGGAAGAAUAGUACCGGUUGGACCGGUAUAUGACUGUACCCUCAGAGAAAGCCCCGGCUAACUACGUGCCAGCAGCCGCGGUAAUACGUAGGGGGCAAGCGUUGUCCGGAUUUACUGGGUGUAAAGGGCGCGCAGGCGGGAUAAAAAGUCAGUGGUGAAAUCCUACAGCUUAACUGUAGAACUGCCUUUGAUACUUUUAUUCUUGAGUUCGGGAGAGAGAGACGGAAUUCCAGGUGUAGUGGUGAAAUACGUAAAUAUCUGGAAGAACACCAGUUGCGAAGGCGGUCUCUUGGUCCGACACUGACGCUGAGGCGCGAAAGCGUGGGGAGCAAA